AGAGGCCCAAGUUGAUAGCCGCCGGCGUAAAGAGUGGUUAAUAAGCCCCAAAUACUAAAGCCGAACAUCUUCAAAGCUGUUAUACGCAACCGAAGACAGGAAGACCCUCCACGAAAGUGGCUUUAAACCUUAUGACCCCACGAAAGCUAGGACACAAACUGGGAUUAGAUACCCCACUAUGCCUUGCCCUAAACACAAGUAGCACUCUUACACCUACUACUCGCCUGGGAACUACAAGCUCAAGCUUAAAACCCAAAGGACUUGGCGGUGCUUUAGACCCACCUAGAGGAGCCUGUUCUAGAACCGAUAAUCCCCGUUCAACCUCACCCUCCCUUGCUUUUCCCGCCUAUAUACCGCCGUCGUCAGCUUACCCUGUGAAGGACUUAUAGUAAGCAAAAUUGGCACAGCCUAAAACGUCAGGUCGAGGUGUAGCGCAUGAGAGGGGAAGAAAUGGGCUACAUUCACUGGCACAGUGAAUUACGAAAGAUGCUUUGAAACAACCGUCCGAAGGAGGAUUUAGCAGUAAGGAGAAAAAUAGAGCGUUCCCCUGAAACUGGCCCUGAAGCGCGCACACACCGCCCGUCACUCUCCCCAAGCUAAACAUCCUUAAUAAAUAAAACAAUAAAAUUGCAAAGGGGAGGCAAGUCGUAACAUGGUAAGUGUACCGGAAGGUGCACUUGGAAAAAU
RNAcentral lists this ribosomal RNA (687 nucleotides) under Ophiocara porocephalum (northern mud gudgeon). RNAcentral's name for it is "partial 12S rRNA". It matches the Rfam family "Bacterial small subunit ribosomal RNA", at positions 534 to 1533 of the family's 1533-position model. Lineage: Eukaryota; Metazoa; Chordata; Actinopteri; Gobiiformes; Eleotridae. The record is from RNAcentral.